UAAGACUCGCAGGACACUAACCCGCAUCUCCUAAAUGCAACUCAGACGCUUUAAUUAAGCUAGAGCCUU
RNAcentral lists this transfer RNA (69 nucleotides) under Bubo blakistoni (Blakiston's fish-owl). RNAcentral's name for it is "tRNA-Ala". Lineage: Eukaryota; Metazoa; Chordata; Aves; Strigiformes; Strigidae. The record is from RNAcentral.